UACGGAGGAUCCGAGCGUUAUCCGGAUUUAUUGGGUUUAAAGGGUGCGCAGGCGGGAGAUUAAGUCGGCGGUGAAAUUUUGCAGCUCAACUGUAAAAGUGCCUUCGAAACUGGUUUCCUUGAGUGUGGAUGAAGUAGGCGGAAUUUGUGGUGUAGCGGUGAAAUGCAUAGAUAUCACGAGGAACCCCGAUUGCGCAGGCAGCUUACUAAACCAUAACUGACGCUCAGGCACGAAGGCGUGGGGAUCAAACAGGAUUAGAUACCCCGGUAGUCCCUGA
Molecule: ribosomal RNA, 277 nt
Filed under: uncultured prokaryote
Description: partial 16S ribosomal RNA
Rfam family: Bacterial small subunit ribosomal RNA
Source: RNAcentral